RNAcentral lists this ribosomal RNA (503 nucleotides) under uncultured bacterium. RNAcentral's name for it is "bacterial SSU rRNA". It matches the Rfam family "Bacterial small subunit ribosomal RNA", at positions 28 to 521 of the family's 1533-position model. The record is from RNAcentral.
GAUGAACGCUAGCUACAGGCUUAACACAUGCAAGUCGAGGGGCAGCAUGAACUUAGCUUGCUAAGUUUGAUGGCGACCGGCGCACGGGUGAGUAACACGUAUCCAACCUGCCGAUGACUCGGGGAUAGCCUUUCGAAAGAAAGAUUAAUACCCGAUGGCAUAAUUCUUCCGCAUGGUAGAACUAUUAAAGAAUUUCGGUCAUCGAUGGGGAUGCGUUCCAUUAGGUUGUUGGCGGGGUAACGGCCCACCAAGCCUUCGAUGGAUAGGGGUUCUGAGAGGAAGGUCCCCCACAUUGGAACUGAGACACGGUCCAAACUCCUACGGGAGGCAGCAGUGAGGAAUAUUGGUCAAUGGGCGAGAGCCUGAACCAGCCAAGUAGCGUGCAGGAUGACGGCCCUAUGGGUUGUAAACUGCUUUUAUAAGGGAAUAAAGUGGGAGUCGUGACUCUUUUUGCAUGUACCUUAUGAAUAAGGACCGGCUAAUUCCGUGCCAGCAGCCGCGGU